Molecule: transfer RNA, 72 nt
Filed under: Nephroselmis pyriformis
Lineage: Eukaryota; Viridiplantae; Chlorophyta; Nephroselmidophyceae; Nephroselmidales; Nephroselmidaceae
Description: tRNA-Arg
Rfam family: tRNA
About the family: Transfer RNA (tRNA) molecules are approximately 80 nucleotides in length. Their secondary structure includes four short double-helical elements and three loops (D, anti-codon, and T loops). Further hydrogen bonds mediate the characteristic L-shaped molecular structure. tRNAs have two regions of fundamental functional importance: the anti-codon, which is responsible for specific mRNA codon recognition, and the 3' end, to which the tRNAs corresponding amino acid is attached (by aminoacyl-tRNA synthetases). tRNAs cope with the degeneracy of the genetic code in two manners: having more than one tRNA (with a specific anti-codon) for a particular amino acid; and 'wobble' base-pairing, i.e. permitting non-standard base-pairing at the 3rd anti-codon position.
Source: RNAcentral
GCCCCCUAAGCUCAGUGGAGGAGCAAUUGUUUCCUAAACAAUAGGCCACUGGUUCGAAUCCAGUAGGGGGCA